UACAGAGGGUGCGAGCGUUAAUCGGAAUUACUGGGCGUAAAGCGUGCGUAGACGGCUAUUUAGGUCGGGUGUGAAAGCCCCGGGCUCAACCUGGGAAUUGCAUUCGAGACUGAGUAGCUAGGGUGCGGUAGAGGGAAGCGGAAUUUCCGGUGUAGCGGUGAAAUGCGUAGAUAUCGGAAGGAACAUCAGUGGCGAAAGCGGCUUCCUGGACCAGCACCGACGUUCAGGCACGAAAGCGUGGGGAGCAAACAGG
Molecule: ribosomal RNA, 253 nt
Filed under: uncultured bacterium
Lineage: Bacteria
Description: partial 16S ribosomal RNA
Rfam family: Bacterial small subunit ribosomal RNA
Source: RNAcentral